UGCCUAAACCCAUAGGGAUUCCUAUGGACAUGGCAGAAAAAUCGCAAUCAACAUAUUGAGCUCGUCAUUCAGUACGUUGAUUGCGUUGCAGGUCGAAAGGCUUGCAGGCCUCUCCGGAGGUC
This 122-nucleotide small RNA is filed under the name unclassified sequences. RNAcentral's name for it is "LOOT RNA". It matches the Rfam family "LOOT RNA". From Rfam's summary of the family: Latescibacteria, OD1/Parcubacteria, OP11, TM7. Lineage (Microgenomates, aka OP11) The record is from Rfam by way of RNAcentral.